Non-coding RNA from Homo sapiens (human), 354 nucleotides. Lineage: Eukaryota; Metazoa; Chordata; Mammalia; Primates; Hominidae. The record is from the annotation of a RefSeq genome assembly.
AUGCUGUUGGCUCUAGCUCUGCUUCUAGCUUUCCUGCCUCCUGCCAGUCAGAAAUCUUCCAACUUGGAAGGGAGAACAAAGUCAGUCACCAGGCCAACUGGGUCAUCAGCUGUAAUCACUUGUGAUCUUCCUGUAGAAAAUGCCGUCUACACCCACUGGUACCUACACCAGGAGGGGAAGGCCCCACAGCGUCUUCUGUACUAUGACUCCUACAACUCCAGGGUUGUGUUGGAAUCAGGAAUCAGUCGAGAAAAGUAUCAUACUUAUGCAAGCACAGGGAAGAGCCUUAAAUUUAUACUGGAAAAUCUAAUUGAACGUGACUCUGGGGUCUAUUACUGUGCCACCUGGGAUAGG